CGGACGGGUGAGUAAUGUAUGGGGAUCUGCCUGAUGGCGGGGGAUAACUACUGGAAACGGUAGCUAAUACCGCAUAAUGUCUACGGACCAAAGCGGGGGACCUCCGGGCCUCUUGCCAUCGGAUGUGCCCAGAUGGGAUUAGCUAGUAGGUGGGGUAACGGCUCACCUAGGCGACGAUCCCUAGCUGGUCUGAGAGGAUGACCAGCCACACUGGAACUGAGACACGGUCCAG
Molecule: ribosomal RNA, 232 nt
Filed under: uncultured bacterium
Lineage: Bacteria
Description: partial 16S ribosomal RNA
Rfam family: Bacterial small subunit ribosomal RNA
Source: RNAcentral